Molecule: long non-coding RNA, 480 nt
Filed under: Ananas comosus (pineapple)
Lineage: Eukaryota; Viridiplantae; Streptophyta; Magnoliopsida; Poales; Bromeliaceae
Description: long non-coding RNA (ACOM_LNC018543)
Source: RNAcentral
UCAAUAAUUUAGUAUAUUCUGUUAAAUUAUAUAAAAUAGUAGUUUUUCUCCGAAAGCAUAAGUUAUUUUGAAAAUUGUAUUUUUAUAUAUAGGCUGGGGCUAUUGUGCUGGUAAAAGUACCAAAUAUUUGAUACUUGUAAAUUUUUUACCAUUAGAUCUACUCUUAUGAUCAUUUUCAAUCGUUAAAUUAUAUUAUACAACCAACCACUCACUCAACCCUAGGGAGCCCACAUCAUCCUAAUUGCAUUUUCCUUAAUCCAAUGACCAAAAAUCUAAAAACACCAAUAACUUGGUACUUUUAAAAGCAUAGAAGCUCAAUUAUAUAUAUAUAUAUAUAUAUAGAGAGAGAGAGAGAGAGAGAGAGAGAGAGUAGAGCUACUAUGCUAUCGGAAGCAUUGAGGAUCUGGUGCUUCCGAUUUUUUGACCCUUAGAUUAGCCCUUUUAAUCAUUUCUAACUUUUAGAUUAAUACUAUUAUCCUG